Molecule: ribosomal RNA, 256 nt
Filed under: uncultured bacterium
Lineage: Bacteria
Description: partial 16S ribosomal RNA
Rfam family: Bacterial small subunit ribosomal RNA
Source: RNAcentral
UAAUACGUAGGUGGCGAGCGUUGUCCGGAAUUACUGGGCGUAAAGGGCGCGCAGGCGGAAGUACAAGUCAGAUGUGAAAACUCCGGGCUUAACUUGGAGACUGCAUUUGAAACUGUAUUUCUUGAGGACAGGAGAGGAAAGCGGAAUUCCUAGUGUAGCGGUGAAAUGCGUAGAUAUUAGGAGGAACACCAGUGGCGAAGGCGGCUUUCUGGACUGUAACUGACGCUGAGGCGCGAAAGCGUGGGGAGCAAACGGG